RNAcentral lists this ribosomal RNA (393 nucleotides) under uncultured bacterium. RNAcentral describes it as "partial 16S ribosomal RNA". It matches the Rfam family "Bacterial small subunit ribosomal RNA", at positions 523 to 918 of the family's 1533-position model. The record is from RNAcentral.
AUACGAGGGGUGCAAGCGUUGUUCGGAAUUACUGGGCGUAAAGGGAGCGUAGGCGGAGAUUCAAGCGGAUUGUACAAUCCCGGGGCCCAACCCCGGCUCUGCAGUCCGAACUGGAUCUCUUGGAUAGUUCAGGGGCAGGCGGAAUUCCUGGUGGAGCGGUGGAAUGCGUAGAGAUCAGGAAGAACACCGAUGGCGAAGGCAGCCUGCUGGGGACUUAUCGACGCUGAGGCUCGAAAGUGCGGGUAGCAAACAGGAUUAGAUACCCUGGUAGUCCGCACCGUAAACGAUGCAUACUGGGUGUCCGGGGGUUCCCCCGGGUACCGUAGCCAACGCGUUAAGUAUGCCGCCUGGGGAGUACGUACGCAAGUAUGAAACUCAAAGGAAUUGACGGGG